This 371-nucleotide ribosomal RNA is filed under the name uncultured bacterium. RNAcentral's name for it is "bacterial SSU rRNA". It matches the Rfam family "Bacterial small subunit ribosomal RNA", at positions 527 to 898 of the family's 1533-position model. The record is from RNAcentral.
GUAGGGUGCAAGCGUUAAUCGGAAUUACUGGGCGUAAAGCGUGCGCAGGCGGUCAUGCAAGACAGAUGUGAAAUCCCCGGGCUUAACCUGGGAACUGCAUUUGUGACUGCAUGGCUGGAGUACGGUAGAGGGAGAUGGAAUUCCGCGUGUAGCAGUGAAAUGCGUAGAUAUGCGGAGGAACACCGAUGGCGAAGGCAAUCUCCUGGACCUGUACUGACGCUCAUGCACGAAAGCGUGGGGAGCAAACAGGAUUAGAUACCCUGGUAGUCCACGCCCUAAACGAUGUCAACUGGUUGUUGGACGGCUUGCUGUUCAGUAACGAAGCUAACGCGUGAAGUUGACCGCCUGGGGAGUACGGCCGCAAGGUUGAA